ACGAACGCUGGCGGCGUGCUUCACACAUGGAAGUCGAACGGAAAGGCCCUGCUUUUGUGGGGUGCUCGAGUGGCGAACGGGUGAGUAACACGUGAGUAACCUGCCCUUGACUUUGGGAUAACUUCAGGAAACUGGGGCUAAUACCGGAUAGGAGCUCCUGCUGCAUGGUGGGGGUUGGAAAGUUUCGGCGGUUGGGGAUGGACUCGCGGCUUAUCAGCUUGUUGGUGGGGUAGUGGCUUACCAAGGCUUUGACGGGUAGCCGGCCUGAGAGGGUGACCGGCCACAUUGGGACUGAGAUACGGCCCAGACUCCUACGGGAGGCAGCAGUGGGGAAUAUUGCACAAUGGGCGGAAGCCUGAUGCAGCAACGCCGCGUGCGGGAUGACGGCCUUCGGGUUGUAAACCGCUUUCGCCUGUGACGAAGCGUGAGUGACGGUAAUGGGUAAAGAAGCACCGGCUAACUACGUG
This 467-nucleotide ribosomal RNA is filed under the name uncultured bacterium. RNAcentral's name for it is "partial 16S ribosomal RNA". It matches the Rfam family "Bacterial small subunit ribosomal RNA", at positions 29 to 507 of the family's 1533-position model. The record is from RNAcentral.